RNAcentral lists this ribosomal RNA (373 nucleotides) under uncultured organism. RNAcentral describes it as "bacterial SSU rRNA". It matches the Rfam family "Bacterial small subunit ribosomal RNA", at positions 526 to 896 of the family's 1533-position model. The record is from RNAcentral.
CGUAGGGACCAAGCGUUGUUCGGAUUUACUGGGCGUAAAGGGCGCGUAGGCGGCCUAACAAGUCACUUGUGAAAUCUCCGGGCUUAACUCGGAAUGGCCAAGUGAAACUGUCAGGCUAGAGUGCAGAAGGGGCAAUCGGAAUUCUUGGUGUAGCGGUGAAAUGCGUAGAUAUCAAGAGGAACACCUGAGGUGAAGACGGGUUGCUGGGCUGACACUGACGCUGAGGCGCGAAAGCCAGGGGAGCAAACGGGAUUAGAUACCCCGGUAGUCCUGGCCCUAAACGAUGAAUACUUGGUGUCUGGAGUUUAUAGUGCUCCGGGUGCCGUCGCUAACGUUUUUAGUAUUCCGCCUGGGGAGUACGCUCGCAAGAGUG